This 1187-nucleotide unclassified non-coding RNA is filed under the name Hevea brasiliensis (rubber tree). The record is from RNAcentral. Lineage: Eukaryota; Viridiplantae; Streptophyta; Magnoliopsida; Malpighiales; Euphorbiaceae.
UACGGUGCAUCCAACCUAGUAACUGCAGUAAGAAGCCAUUUGGUGGUUAGCUCAUGAAGCAUUGAGGAAGAUAAUUUUCUUUUCCAAGCAUAAAGAGUACUGUUUUCUAUUGGGUCCAUAAGAAGCAUAGACAUAACCUUCAUUUUCUUUUUUUCUCUUCAGAAAACCUGAGCUUUGUUCACUUUGGCUAUGAUGAGAGGAUAGGAGAUAAGCUACUUUUCAUAAUUAAAAGUAGAACUGUUUAUGAAUGAGAUAUCAAUUGCUCCCUGGAAACCUCUAAUGCCUAAGAUGAAGGUGGCUGGAGUGAAACACGGAGAUAGUUACAAGCUUUUGGUUGGCUAUUCAUUUCAAGAUCAAAUCAUGUGGGCAAAUUGAUAGUGGGUCCUGGGCCCUUCCAACAGAUGAUUUUGUGUAAGCCACAUACUUGUUUUGUUGCAAGAUUGAUCACUUUUUUUUCUAUUUUCAUCUUUGAUUGCUCUAUAUAAUUGUCCUGCAUUAAGCAUUAGAUGUAACUUGAUGUAGCCAUUGAUUUUUGAUGCUCUAGCAUGCUUCUUAUUUUCUGCAAAACUAAUAAAUCUAUACUUGCAGAUGCAUUUAAGUACAUUGAAUUGACAGAUGGGUUAUGUGCCUUGUUUAAAAAUGCCCUUUCCAAGUUGGCAUGUUUACACACAUGGCCCUUUCCAAGUUGGCAUGUUUACACACAUGCACUUUCUGUUAUCUUUCUAAUAAUAGCUAUUACUUGUGUACUGUUGUUCUGCUGGGUACUUGGUGAGAGAAGACUCAAGACUCCACGUUCAAAAGUGGCGACAGAGAAUAUUUUGUUGGUGUUUAAUGAGCUCAAGGACUAGGCACAAUAAGCUGAAAUGCCCAUUGCUUUUUUGAGGUUGCCACGGGAGAUAAUUAGCUUUCCUUCUGAGUUAGCGAGUCAUGAUCAGAUUCUGUACCAACGUCAGCUCCGAACCAGGACUGUUGGCCUCCAGAUACUGAGUGUGCCCCACAAGCAACUUUACAAAUAGCAGCGGCUGAAAAUUAGCUGAGAAAUGAGAAGAUGGGCUGUUAAUACCACGAAGAAAGAUAAUGUAACAGAGAUACCCAUGAUUGGAACAAAUAUCUAUGCAAGCUGACUAACAAUUUUUGUCAGAUACAGAAUUUACCUCUCUGUUACACUCUUAAUGGUUAAAUAUGUG